ACCUACGGGGGGCAGCAGUAGGGAAUUUUCGUCAAUGGGCGCAAGCCUGAACGAGCAAUGCCGCGUGAACGAGGAAGGUCUUCGGAUCGUAAAGUUCUGUUGAAGGGGAAAAAGAGCGGAGAGAGGAAAUGGUCUCCGAUUGAUAUUACCCUUCGAGGAAGUCACGGCUAACUACGUGCCAGCAGCCGCGGUAAUACGUAGGUGGCGAGCGUUAUCCGGAAUGAUUGGGCGUAAAGGGUGCGUAGGCGGCCUGCUAAGUCUGGCGUGAUAGGAACCGGCUCAACCGGUACAGGCUCUGGAAACUG
Molecule: ribosomal RNA, 305 nt
Filed under: uncultured bacterium
Lineage: Bacteria
Description: bacterial SSU rRNA
Rfam family: Bacterial small subunit ribosomal RNA
Source: RNAcentral